AGGUCCCGCCUGCCCUGUGAUUUUUUUAACGGCCGCGGUAUCUUGACCGUGCGAAGGUAGCGUAAUCACUUGUUUUUUAAUUGAAGGCCCGUAUGAAAGGCAUAACGAGAGUUUAUCUGUCUUUAUUUUCUAAUCAAUGAAAUUGAUCUUCUCGUGCAGAAGCGAGAAUAAAAACAUAAGACGAGAAGACCCUAUGGAGCUUAAAACACCUAAGUUAUUUUUAAAUAAUAAUAAAUUUACUACCUACGGGCACAAAAAUACAUAAAAUAAUCUUCUAACUUAACUUGUUUUUGGUUGGGGCGACCAAGGGGAAAAACAAAACCCCCUUAUCGAACGGGUGAAAGAUCACUCAAAAUUAGAAUUACAAUUCUAAUUAAUAGAAAAUCUAACGAACAAUGACCCAGGAAACCAUAUCCUGAUCAAUGAACCAAGUUACCCUAGGGAUAACAGCGCAAUCCUUUCUUAGAGCCCACAUCACCGAAAGGGUUUACGACCUCGAUGUUGGAUCAGGACAUCCUAAUGGUGUAGCAGCUAUUAAGGGUUCGUUUGUUCAACGAUUAAUAGUCCUACGUGAUC
RNAcentral lists this ribosomal RNA (576 nucleotides) under Telatrygon zugei (pale-edged stingray). Its description in RNAcentral is "partial 16S ribosomal RNA". It matches the Rfam family "Bacterial large subunit ribosomal RNA", at positions 1850 to 2605 of the family's 2925-position model. The record is from RNAcentral. Lineage: Eukaryota; Metazoa; Chordata; Chondrichthyes; Myliobatiformes; Dasyatidae.